GAUGAACGCUGGCGGCGUGCCUAAUACAUGCAAGUCGAGCGAACAGACGAGAGUGCUUGCACUCUCUGACGUUAGCGGCGGACGGGUGAGUAACACGUGGGUAACCUACCUAUAAGACUGGGAUAACUUCGGGAAACCGGAGCUAAUACCGGAUAAUAUUUAGCUUCGCAUGAAGCAAUAGUGAAAGACGGUUCUGCUGUCACUUAUAGAUGGACCCGCGGUGUAUUAGCUAGUUGGUGAGGUAACGGCUCACCAAGGCAACGAUACAUAGCCGACCUGAGAGGGUGAUCGGCCACACUGGGACUGAGACACGGCCCAGACUCCUACGGGUGGCAGCAGUAGGGAAUCUUCCGCAAUGGACGAAAGUCUGACGGAGCAAUGCCGCGUGAGUGAAGAAGGUUUUCGGAUCGUAAAACUCUGUUGUAAGGGAAGAACAAGUACGUUAGUAACUGAACGUACCUUGACGGUACCUUACCAGAAAGCCACGGCUAACUAUGUG
Molecule: ribosomal RNA, 499 nt
Filed under: uncultured bacterium
Lineage: Bacteria
Description: partial 16S ribosomal RNA
Rfam family: Bacterial small subunit ribosomal RNA
Source: RNAcentral